AUCCAUCUGACGAGCCCCAAACAGGGCAAAACGCGCAUCUUGGAU
RNAcentral lists this non-coding RNA (45 nucleotides) under Schistosoma mattheei. The record is from RNAcentral. Lineage: Eukaryota; Metazoa; Platyhelminthes; Trematoda; Strigeidida; Schistosomatidae.